CGAGCACGCGCGUGUGGCAUAUCAAUAAGCGGAGGAAAAGAAACUAACAAGGAUUCCCUUAGUAACGGCGAGUGAAGCGGGAAGAGCUCAAAUUUGAAAUCUUCAAGGUUUUACCUUGACGAAUUGUAGUUUAAAGAAGUGUUUUCUGUUGAAGUUUUGGUAAAAGUUCUUUGGAAUAGGACAUCAUAGAGGGUGAGAAUCCCGUAUUUGACCAUUAUUUUCAGCUGUGUGAUACACUUUCAAAGAGUCGGAUUGUUUGGGAAUGCAGUCCAAAAUGGGUGGUAAAUUUCAUCUAAAGCUAAAUAUUGGCGAGAGACCGAUAGCGAACAAGUACCGUGAGGGAAAGAUGAAAAGAACUUUGAAAAGAGAGUUAAACAGUACGUGAAAUUGUCAAAAGGGAAGCGUUUGACACCAGUGUUGUUUUCUCGAAAAUCAAUUAAAAAAGGCAGGAUUUUGUGUUGUAUUGACCUUAUCAAGCUUUCUGCACUCUUUUCUUGUCUUUUUUAAUGCACUUUUCGUUUAACAAGUCAACAUCAAUUUCUUUUGUUGUAAAAGGGUCAUUGGAAGGUGGCUUUCUUUUCGGAGAAAGUGUUUAUAGCCUUUGGCCUCUGCAAUCGGAGAGAUUGAGGUCUGCAGCGUAGAUCCUUCGGGGUUAGAUACAUUUGUGCUAAGUUAUAGCCUUUCAUAGACAACUUGUUGACUAUGAUCAGUCAUGUAGCUUACUCGCUUAUGCUAUUUUACCUACGCUUAGGAUGUUGAGCGCAUGUCUCUCUCU
RNAcentral lists this ribosomal RNA (775 nucleotides) under uncultured Neocallimastigales. RNAcentral describes it as "partial large subunit ribosomal RNA". It matches the Rfam family "Eukaryotic large subunit ribosomal RNA", at positions 19 to 616 of the family's 3401-position model. Lineage: Eukaryota; Fungi; Neocallimastigomycota; Neocallimastigomycetes; Neocallimastigales. The record is from RNAcentral.